GAAAGGAUCUUCAAGGAGCAGGAGCAGCUGCGCACGGGAGGCAUACCCCGUGGAGUGCGCUGUGCCCACCAAGCCCGGCCCCCAGGUCGCUGCCGCCCCCACCUGCACACGUGUAUGCUGCAUCCAGUACUCAGGAGAUGGGCAGUGGCUGGCCUGUGGGUUGGCCAACCAUCUGUCACUCGUUUUUGAUGCCAGCCUGACUGGGACACCUGCUGUGUUUUCAGGUCAUGACGGGGCAGUGAAUGCCGUGUGCUGGAGCCAGGACCGGAGGUGGCUGCUCUCUGCGGCCCGGGAUGGGACCCUGCGGGUGUGGUCGGCUCGUGGGGCAGAGCUCGCACUGCUUCUGAUAUAAACAGAAGAGCAAGUCCAAGCUGAUUUGCAGGCUCUCCACGACAGGUGCAGUAGACAUGACCAGUUUAUCGGCAGUCAACGACUUUUAUUCCCACAUCGUACUCGCAGCUGGCCGGAACAGGACCGUGGAAGUGUUCGACCUCAACGCCGGCUGCAGCGCAGCGGUGAUAGUGGAAGCCCACUCACGGCCUGUCCAUCAAAUCUGCCAAAAUAAAGGUUCAUCAUUUACAACCCAACAGCCUCAGGCUUAUAACCUUUUCCUGACCACGGCCGUUGGCGAUGGGAUGAGACUGUGGGACCUGAGAACCCUGAGGUGUGAGCGCCACUUUGAAGGGCAUCCAACCCGCGGCUAUCCAUGUGGAAUCGCUUUCAGUCCUUGUGGACGAUUCGCGGCUUGUGGGGCCGAGGACAGACACGCUUACGUAUAUGAAAUGGGCUCAAGCACGUUUUCUCACCGGCUGGCUGGGCACACAGACACCGUCACUGGAGUGGCCUUCAACCCAUCAGCGCCCCAGCUUGCCACAGCUACCUUGGAUGGUAAACUCCAGCUCUUUCUAGCUGAGUAACCACUGACCUGUGAGCUGGGUCCAGGAAUGCUGUGAGGAACAACUUAAAAGUAAGAAGUAGUGGUUCAACCAUCAGGGGGCCAGAAGCAGCAACUGUUUUUCAUACUUUGAGACUUGCUUCAGAUUUCCCCCUUAUGCAAGCUCCUCCCCCCUGUGUGUGCCAUGUCAGAGUUUUAUGUCUUUCUGCUCCUCAAAAGGGAUCCCCCUCAUUGGGAAAAUGGAAAUGGCGUCCAGUACUUCUGCACAGAAUUUGGUAAAGUUAAAACAGAAUAUCUUUCAAUAAAACAUAAUAUAGUAUUUGUUUGAUAAUUAGAGUUGGAAGAAAAAAGAGAAUUUCUUUUGGGCAGUGAAAAUAAAGCAGUUAACAGUC
Molecule: small RNA, 1287 nt
Filed under: Pan troglodytes (chimpanzee)
Lineage: Eukaryota; Metazoa; Chordata; Mammalia; Primates; Hominidae
Description: processed transcript
Source: RNAcentral